Long non-coding RNA from Physeter macrocephalus (sperm whale), 230 nucleotides. RefSeq lists it as uncharacterized. NCBI's taxonomy places the organism in Eukaryota, Metazoa, Chordata, Mammalia, Artiodactyla, Physeteridae. The record is from RefSeq and is a predicted model, not a curated record. The transcript is spliced from 3 exons.
CUGGCCGCCCGGUACCGGGCCAAGCAGCUGCACCUACACUGGUCCAAGGUGCCGGACUGGGGCUCGGAGCACAGCUUCGACGGGGAGCGCUUUGCCAUGGAGAUGCACGUGGUACAUGAGAAAGAAAAGGGGACAUCGAGGAACACGAACAAGAACCAGGACCCCAAAGAUGAGACCGCAGUGCUCGCCUUCAUGGUGGAGGCCGGAUCCGAGAAUGUUAACUUCCGGCC